This 72-nucleotide transfer RNA is filed under the name Pangasianodon gigas (Mekong giant catfish). RNAcentral describes it as "tRNA-Glu". It matches the Rfam family "tRNA". Rfam says of the family: Transfer RNA (tRNA) molecules are approximately 80 nucleotides in length. Lineage: Eukaryota; Metazoa; Chordata; Actinopteri; Siluriformes; Pangasiidae. The record is from RNAcentral.
UCCCUGGAGGACUAGUGGUUAGGCCUCAGCACUCUCACUGCUGUGGCCUGGGUUCGAUCCCCAGCCAGGGCA